This 389-nucleotide ribosomal RNA is filed under the name uncultured cyanobacterium. RNAcentral's name for it is "bacterial SSU rRNA". It matches the Rfam family "Bacterial small subunit ribosomal RNA", at positions 392 to 796 of the family's 1533-position model. Lineage: Bacteria; Bacillati; Cyanobacteriota. The record is from RNAcentral.
ACAAUCCGCGUGAGGGUACCAGGCUUUUGGGUUGUAAACCUCUUUUCUCAAGGAAGAAGUACUGACGGUACUUGAGGAAUCAGCAUCGGCUAACUCCGUGCCAGUAGCCGCGGUAAUACGGAGGAUGCAAGCGUUAUCCGGGAUUAUUGGGCGUAAAGCGUCCGCAGGUGGUGCAUCAAGUCUGCUGUCAAAGACCAGGGCUUAACCCCGGGAAGGCAGUGGAAACUGGUGGACUAGAGUACGGUAGGGGUAGAGGGAAUUCCCAGUGUAGCGGUGAAAUGCGUAGAGAUUGGGAAGAACACCAGUGGCGAAGGCGCUCUACUGGACCUGUACUGACACUCAGGGACGAAAGCUAGGGGAGCGAAAGGGAUUAGAUACCCCUGUAGUCA